This is a long non-coding RNA of Pygocentrus nattereri (red-bellied piranha), 2267 nucleotides long. The record is from Ensembl. NCBI's taxonomy places the organism in Eukaryota, Metazoa, Chordata, Actinopteri, Characiformes, Serrasalmidae.
AUGACCGCCAUGGUUCGUUUCGUCUUCGUCGUGUUAUUUACAGCCACUGUUUUCCAACAUGUGGUGUCCAUGUCAGUGCCAGAAAUAUAUGAAAAUUACCCGUGUGCUGGAGGUCUGCAAAGUCUAACGUCUGAGCAUGCAAGACUGGCCGAGGACUGUGAACAGAUUUGGAGUAUUGGGAGCAGCCCCAUAGGAAGAAUCUGGAACGGAAGUGCUGAGUGCCACAGACCAUGCAGUCAGGUGACUGUGGGUGAAAUUGUUGUCAGCAAGUGCGUCAAUAUCACACUGACCAUUUUAUGUGUGGAGGAUUAUAUGACUGAAUAUCGGAUUCAUUUUAAAGGUAAGAUAUUAAAUGGAUAUAUACAUACAUGCAUAAAUAUGCACAUACUUACAUAUUCAUUCUUCAUAAUGUGGUACAGCCAAGCCAGUUUUAAUUGGUUAUUCUCUUUGUGAUACUUCGUUGUAGGCAUCAACCCUUCGCCACAAAUUCAGCCCAAGAACAGAGCACGCUAUGGUAAUAUUGAACUGUCAAAUACAGUGCUAUUUAAAAACUUCAUAAGUUGCUUAUAUCCUGCUGAAAAAUCAAAAUUCAGAAAAGUGGCUGGAUUUCAUUCGUUUAGUAGGCAAAACGAAUUUGAGAAAGACAGGACAAAUAAUCAAAUCUGAACAUUUUUAUUUUUGUUGAGAAAGCAUAAAAUUUUUUAAGGGUUUGGGUUUCAUAUAUUUACACAUAGAGGGCUGACAUAUCUGAUGUUGUGUAAUCAUCAGGUUUCUAUGCAAGUGUUGCUGUCCUUGGUACCCUGCUUUCAGUGGCUUUGGUGGGACUGUUCCACUGCUACAGAUCUCACCACCAUGGCUCCAGAAACACCGAAGUGAUUCAACUUUAAUUAUACAAUGUUAGCCUACACACUAUGUUAAUAUGCAUAAAAAAUACCUUUAUUUAUUUAUUUAUAUAUAUAUAUGUAUAUGUAUGUAUAUGUAUAUAUAUGUAUAAUAUAUAUAAGUAUAUAUAUAUAUUAGGGGUGGCAACUGGUGUAAAAGUAGAGGAGGCAGUGGAUAGGGCAAGGUGGAGGCAGAGCGGUUGGUUUUGUGGUACGUUAAAUCUGAACGAGAGAAAGUGGAACGGGAAAAUUCGAACGAGAAGCAACUUCAGCCUCGUAAAACAGCCGAACAACAAGAGACAUUUUACAAGAAGCUGCUCUACUUCUGAGAGGGAAAGGGGAGGAAAGCGGCUAUAGGUAAAGCUUAAAUCAGAGCAAAGUAAAUCCGUGUUUUCGUUUAUAUUUUUUAGCCUAUAGUAGCACAUUCGAACACACUCAGACAUACUGGGCAUUAAAUGUCUCCCGGUGUGGCUUGAUUUUUGUUUAAAGGACAAAACAUUUAGGCUGUGACUCCUGACUGAACCUGGCUUUAAUGCAGAGCCAGUCAGAUUUCUCACUCAUCCAGCUGUGUUCUUGUUAUGUGCCGUCACAGACUGUCCAGGUGCUGCACUUAUCCACUUCCAACUUCUGCCUUUUACAUUCCGUCAACACUACGGUAUAAAUUAAAUAUUUAGAAAAUCGGUUUUUGACAUUUAUGAAUCGAUUCAGAAUCGUUCACAUCCGCUUUGCGAUGCAUCGAAGAAUCGAGUUUUUCUUGCAUCCUUUUAUAUAUGUGUAUAUAUAUAUAUAGUCCAUUUUAUGAGCUCCACUUACUAUAUAGGUGCACUUUGUAGUUCUACAGUUACAGACUGUAGUCCAUCUGUCUGUCUGCACACUUUACUAGCUCCUUUUCACGCUGUUCUUCAGUGGUAAGGACCCCCAGAUGACCACCACAAAGCAAGUAUUAUUUGGGUGGUGGAUCACUCUCAGCACUGCAAUGACACAGACAUGGCGGUGGUGUGUUAGUGCAGCAGUGCUGCUGGAGUUUUUAAACAACUCAAUUUAUAGUCCACCAGCCAAAAAUAUCCAGCAAACAGUGCCCUGUGGGCAGUGUCCUGUGACCACUGAUGAAGGACUAGAAGAUGAGCAACAGAAACUGUGCAGCAGCAGAUGUGCUAUCGUCUCUGACUUUACAUCUACAAGGUGGACUGACAAGGUAGGUGUGUGUAAUAGAGUGGACAGUGAGUGGACAUUUUGUGUAUGUUUGAUUUUAUAGAAAAACUAAAUAAUACAUUUGAAGCUGUGGAAGCAUCAUAUAAUAUAAUAUAUAAAAGUAUAGUAUAAAUUUAAAAUAAAAGAUUCAAUAUAAAUAAAAUUAAAUGAAAUAUAGAAAUACUUAUGGAUGCU